Molecule: transfer RNA, 75 nt
Filed under: Rhodopila sp.
Lineage: Bacteria; Pseudomonadati; Pseudomonadota; Alphaproteobacteria; Acetobacterales; Acetobacteraceae
Description: tRNA-Gly
Rfam family: tRNA
About the family: Transfer RNA (tRNA) molecules are approximately 80 nucleotides in length.
Source: RNAcentral
GCGGGCGUAGCUCAUGGGUAGAGCACAACCUUGCCAAGGUUGGGGUCGAGGGUUCGAAUCCCUUCGCCCGCUCCA